CCCUUAGAUGUUCUGGGCCGCACGCGCGCUACACUGAUGCAUUCAACGAGUCUAAAACCUGGUCUGAUAGGGCUGGGUAAUCUUUUGAAAGUGCAUCGUGAUUGGGAUAGAUGAUUGCAAUUCUUCAUCUUCAACGAGGAAUGCCUAGUAAACGCAAGUCAUCAGCUUGCAUUGAUUACGUCCCUGCCCUUUGUACACACCGCCCGUCGCUCCUACCGAUUGAAUGAUCCGAUGAAUACAAUGGAUCGAGAGUACGAACAGUUUCGAUUGUUUCUGCUUUCUCGAGAAGUUGAGUAAAUCUUNUNAUUUAUNGGAAGGAGAANUCGUANCA
Molecule: ribosomal RNA, 331 nt
Filed under: uncultured eukaryote
Lineage: Eukaryota
Description: partial 18S ribosomal RNA
Rfam family: Eukaryotic small subunit ribosomal RNA
Source: RNAcentral